This 253-nucleotide ribosomal RNA is filed under the name uncultured bacterium. RNAcentral's name for it is "partial 16S ribosomal RNA". It matches the Rfam family "Bacterial small subunit ribosomal RNA", at positions 524 to 776 of the family's 1533-position model. The record is from RNAcentral.
UACGUAGGUGGCAAGCGUUAUCCGGAAUUAUUGGGCGUAAAGAGCGCGCAGGUGGUUAAUUAAGUCUGAUGUGAAAGCCCACGGCUUAACCGUGGAGGGUCAUUGGAAACUGGUUGACUUGAGUGCAGAAGAGGGAAGUGGAAUCCCAUGUGUAGCGGUGAAAUGCGUAGAGAUAUGGAGGAACACCAGUGGCGAAGGCGGCUUCCUGGUCUGCAACUGACACUGAGGCGCGAAAGCGUGGGGAGCAAACAGG